RNAcentral lists this ribosomal RNA (279 nucleotides) under uncultured bacterium. RNAcentral describes it as "partial 16S ribosomal RNA". It matches the Rfam family "Bacterial small subunit ribosomal RNA", at positions 506 to 784 of the family's 1533-position model. The record is from RNAcentral.
UGCCAGCCGCCGCGGUAAUACGGAGGGUGCAAGCGUUGUUCGGAAUUAUUGGGCGUAAAGCGCGUGUAGGCGGUUCGUUAAGUCUGAUGUGAAAGCCCGGGGCUCAACCCCGGAAGUGCAUUGGAAACUGGCGAACUUGAGUACGGGAGAGGAAAGUGGAAUUCCGAGUGUAGGGGUGAAAUGCGUAGAUAUUAGGAGGAACACCAAAGGCGAAGGCAGCUUACUGGACAAUUACUGACGCUCAGGCACGAAAGCGUGGGGAGCGAAAGGGAUUAGAUA